UUAAGUCGAAUUUUUCAUUCGGCGUGGGGCGAUCAAAAAGGAGAGGAGGCUAAGAAUCCCACAAGAUUCCUAUCUUGGAGGGUGGUGUGGUGGAUCAAAAAGGAGGGGAGGAGGAGAAAAAAGGGUGUGCAAAAUAUGAUGCUAGGUUGAUCAGGGAUGGAAAGAAAAGGGCUAUUAUGUUGAAGUCUAAAGUAACGGUGGGUACGUAUGCGAGGAAGGAAUUUAAAGCAAAUGAUUGUUUUUAAAAAGGAUUAUGUUUUAUAAUCUAACGCUGCUCAGGAUUGAUUAUGAUAUUAGAUAUUGUGAAAAUUUGGAUGCAGUGAAUCGAAAGAGGUUUCGGAGAAAUGAAGAUCUGUAUAUAAUGUGUUUAAAAACUGUAUAAAUAUUGUAUAUAAUAUGUAUCUGAAUAAUUAUUGCAGCUAAAUGUUGUAUAAGAUGUG
This 440-nucleotide long non-coding RNA is filed under the name Capsicum annuum. Its description in RNAcentral is "long non-coding RNA (CANN_LNC018689)". Lineage: Eukaryota; Viridiplantae; Streptophyta; Magnoliopsida; Solanales; Solanaceae. The record is from RNAcentral.